UACAGAGGUCCCAAGCGUUGUUCGGAUUCACUGGGCGUAAAGGGUGCGUAGGUGGCAGGGUAAGUUUGAUGUGAAAUCUCCGAGCUCAACUCGGAAACUGCAUUGAAUACUAUCCUGCUUGAGCACUGUAGAGGCAGAUGGAAUUCCGGGUGUAGCGGUGGAAUGGCGUAGAUAUCGGGAGGAACACCAGUGGCGGAAGGCGGUUGCCUGGGGCUUUGGCUGACGCUGAUGGCGCGAAAGC
RNAcentral lists this ribosomal RNA (241 nucleotides) under uncultured bacterium. RNAcentral's name for it is "partial 16S ribosomal RNA". It matches the Rfam family "Bacterial small subunit ribosomal RNA", at positions 524 to 760 of the family's 1533-position model. The record is from RNAcentral.